Molecule: ribosomal RNA, 705 nt
Filed under: uncultured bacterium
Lineage: Bacteria
Description: bacterial SSU rRNA
Rfam family: Bacterial small subunit ribosomal RNA
Source: RNAcentral
CGGACGGGUGAGUAACGCGUGAGCAAUCUGCCGAAAAGUGGGGAAUAGCUCGCCGAAAGGCGGAUUAAUACCGCAUAUGAUUAGCAAAAGCAUUUUUGCGACAUCAAAGCUGGGGAAACUUGGCGCUUUUCGAUGAGCCCGCGGCCUAUCAGCUAGUUGGCGAGGUAAUGGCUCACCAAGGCGAUGACGGGUAGCUGGUCUGAGAGGACGACCAGCCACACUGGAACUGAGACACGGUCCAGACACCUACGGGUGGCAGCAGUCGAGAAUUUUUCUCAAUGGGGGAAACCCUGAAGGAGCGACGCCGCGUGGAGGAUGAAGGUCUUCGGAUUGUAAACUCCUGUCAUCAGAGAACAAGGGGCGCAUUAACCGUGCGUCUUGAUAGUAUUUGAAGAGGAAGAGACGGCUAACUCUGUGCCAGCAGCCGCGGUAAUACAGAGGUCUCAAGCGUUGUUCGGAUUUAUUGGGCGUAAAGGGUGCGUAGGCGGCGGGGUAAGUGAGGUGUGAAAUCCCGGAGCUCAACUCUGGAACUGCACUUUAUACUGCUCUGCUAGAGUCUUGGAGAGGAGACUGGAAUUUACGGUGUAGCAGUGAAAUGCGUAGAUAUCGUAAGGAAGACCAGUGGCGAAGGCGAGUCUCUGGACAAAGACUGACGCUGAGGCACGAAGGCCAGGGGAGCAAAUGGGAUUAGAUACCCCAGUAGUC